RNAcentral lists this ribosomal RNA (262 nucleotides) under uncultured bacterium. RNAcentral describes it as "partial 16S ribosomal RNA". It matches the Rfam family "Bacterial small subunit ribosomal RNA", at positions 8 to 263 of the family's 1533-position model. The record is from RNAcentral.
AAAGUUUGAUCCUGGCUCAGGACGAACGCUGGCGGCGCGCCUAACACAUGCAAGUCGAACGGAGUCAAGAGAAGCUUGCUUUUCUUGACUUAGUGGCGAACGGGUGAGUAACGCGUGAGUAACCUGCCCUGGAGUGGGGGACAACAGUUGGAAACGACUGCUAAUACCGCAUAAGCCCACGGCCCGGCAUCGGGCUGAGGGAAAAGGAUUUAUUCGCUUCAGGAUGGACUCGCGUCCAAUUAGCUAGUUGGUGAGGUAACGG